Molecule: ribosomal RNA, 1185 nt
Filed under: marine sediment metagenome
Description: bacterial LSU rRNA
Rfam family: Bacterial large subunit ribosomal RNA
Source: RNAcentral
CCUACAAGCUUACCGACCCCAAUCAAACUCCGAAUACCGAAUACAUGUUAUGUGGCAGUGAGGCUGCGGGGGAUAAGCUCCGUAGCCGAGAGGGAAACAACCCAGAUCAUCAGCUAAGGUCCCUAAGUCGAUGCUAAGUGACAAAGGAUGUUAAAUCGCCCAGACAGCUAGGAGGUUGGCUUAGAAGCAGCCAUCCUUUAAAGAAAGCGUAAUAGCUCACUAGUCAAGGGGUUUUGCGCCUAUAAUACCCGGGACUAAGCAUCGCACCGAAGCUAUGGAUUUCAAUAGUUUACUGUUGAAGUGGUAGGUGAGCGUUCUAUUAACCUGUGAAGGUUGACCCGUGAGGGCAGCUGGAGGAGAUGGAAAUGAGUAUGCUGGCAUGAGUAGCGAUAAACACGGUGAAAUACCGUGUCGCCGAAAGUCCAAGGUUUCCUGAGUAAAGUAACUCUGCUCAGGGUUAGUCGGACCCUAAGCCGAGGCCGAAAGGCGUAGGCGAUGGAAAACGGGUUUAAUAUUCCCGUACCAGUUCGUAAUCGUUAUAACUAUGGGGGGACGCAGAAGUGAAAGGUCAGCCCGGUUUUGAUUGUCCGGGUUUAAGUGUGUAGGAGGGUCCGGUUGGUAAAUCCGCUGGAUUAUUAACUCUGAGACACGAAUAGGAGGGCCUAGCCCAUAAACUGACCAUAAUCCUGCUGCCAAGAAAAGCCUCUAUGUGAGAUCAUGAACUGACCGUACCCUAAACGGACACACGUGGACGAGGAGAGUAUCCUAAGGCGCUUGAGAGAAUCCAGGUUAAGGAACUCGGCAAAUUAACCCCGUAACUUCGGGAUAAGGGGUGCCUUGAUUAGGUGAACACCUUUGCGGUGGAAGCUGAAAGAGGCCGCAGUGACCAGGCCCAAACGACUGUUUACUAAAAACACAGGUCUCUGCUAAAUCGUAAGAUGAAAUAUAGGGACUGACACCUGCCCGGUGCCGGAAGGUUAAAUGGAAGUGUUAGCUUCGGCAAAGCUCUGAAAUGAAGCCCCGGUAAACGGCGGCCGUAACUAUAACGGUCCUAAGGUAGCGAAAUUCCUUGUCGGGUAAGUUCCGACCUGCACGAAUGGUGUAACGAUUUGGGCACUGUCUCAACCUGGAGCUCAGCGAAAUUGAAGUGUCGGUGAAGAUACCGGCUACCCGCGGCAGGACGAA